GCUGGGCGCGGUGGUGCACGCCUGUAAUCCCAGUGGCUUGGGAGGCUGAGAUAGGAGGAUUGCAAGUUCAAAGCCAGCCACAGAAAAAGUGAGGCACUAAGCAACUCAGCGAGACCCUGUCUCUA
RNAcentral lists this small RNA (125 nucleotides) under Marmota monax (woodchuck). The record is from RNAcentral. Lineage: Eukaryota; Metazoa; Chordata; Mammalia; Rodentia; Sciuridae.